Cebus imitator (Panamanian white-faced capuchin) is the source of this 634-nucleotide long non-coding RNA. RefSeq lists it as uncharacterized. The transcript is spliced from 2 exons. NCBI's taxonomy places the organism in Eukaryota, Metazoa, Chordata, Mammalia, Primates, Cebidae. The record is from RefSeq and is a predicted model, not a curated record.
AGUGAUUCUCCUGCCUCAGCCUCCUGAGUAGCUGGAACUACAGAUUUUUAUCUUUGAGUAUUUCCACAUUCACAUAUAAUUUUAUAUGACAAAAAAUUUUUAAAUCAAGAUACAGAGUGGAACCGAAGGAGAUAUAGCCACAAAAAAGCCUACAAAUAAAUCAGUGAAUCCAGGAACUUUUAAAAAAAAAAGAAAAUAGAUAAAUGGCUAGCUAGACUAAUGAAGAAAAAAGAAUCAAAUAGACACACUUUGAAAUGAUAAAGAAGAUAUUACUACUGACUCCUCAGAAAUAGAAUCAUCAGAGAAUACUACUAACAGCUCUAUACAAAUAAACUAGAAAAUCUAGGAGAAAUGGAUAAAUUCCUAGACACAUACACCCUCCCAAGACUGAACCAGGAAGAAGUUGAGUUCCUGAAUGGACCAGAACAAGUUCUGAAAUUGAGACAGUGAUAAAUAGCCUAGCAGCAAAAAAAGCCCAGGACCAGAUGGACUUACAGCUGAAUUCUACAASAGGCACAAAYWGGAGCUGGUYCCYUUUCUUCUGAAACUKUUCCAAACAAUUGAAAAGGAGGGACUCRUGCCUAYCUCAUUSUYUGAGGCCAGRYUCAUCCUGAUACCAAAAWUUGGCYGAAAU